Oncorhynchus tshawytscha (Chinook salmon) is the source of this 1493-nucleotide long non-coding RNA. RefSeq lists it as uncharacterized. The record is from RefSeq and is a predicted model, not a curated record. NCBI's taxonomy places the organism in Eukaryota, Metazoa, Chordata, Actinopteri, Salmoniformes, Salmonidae. The transcript has 5 exons.
GCUAGUAAUAAUGUUAUAUCAUUUAAAUGAGUAGUGAAUAGGGAUUGGACUGAUUUAAGAGCGACAUCAUUUUUGAUUGGCUUGUAUUAGUUUACUAAUUCUUUGGGGUUUGCCAAAGACCUUUGUGUCUUUACACAUCUAAAUAGAAUAGAUCUUUGUUAUUAUUGAAUAUUUUGUUAGUGUCCUAUGGCGGGUGAUCAGUGUCAGUUCGAAAAUGCAAUGCUUAAACGCUAAAUAUUAAUGUGAAAAUGGUAAAUGCGUUUGUAUUUUCAAAUCAGUGUGCAUGAUUCAUGCCACAAUUAAAUUGAACCUGCUCUAAUCACCCUACCUGUGUAUAAAAUAAUAUGAUAUAUUCUUUCAAAGUUGCUGAAAAAUUAAAUAAAUAAAAAAUAACACAUUUAGAAGGCAACAGGCAGAUCAAACUGACAUUUUUUUCUGUAAAAAUGGCAAGAAAUAAGAAAAGAGUUGACAGACACUAAAUCAAGCGCACCUCCCCUCAUUGGUCCAGUCGGGUUGUUUUAUAACCACACCUUCAGAUUGUAACGCUACUAAAGUUCUGUCUGGGCAGGCCAAUCAUAUUUCCUAAUCAUCAAACAAAGUAAACUGACAGACAUAUUCUAAAUAGUAUGAAUCGACAUUUUUGAAAAUGUCAUUCUGUACUAAUUACUGGGGCGUGCAGAGGCCUCGGUCUACAAAUGGUGAAAGACCUGGCGAGAAGCAUCGAGCGACCGACCACAAUAAGUGACUGCGCGCAAACCACCCGCAGCACAGAUGUUGUCAGCCAGUCAUGUAUAGACUCAGCAUUUCACGAGGUGUCAUCCAUACUGGGAGGUGAUGGGCUCAACUGCCUCAUAAACAACACAGCUGAUCUGAAGACAGUGACACCUGACGACUUUUGAGAGUAAUACUGUUUCUACUCUUUUUGCCACCAAGGCAUUUCUGCCAUUGCUCCAGGCAGCUGCUGCACGGACCACUGUAAUGGGGAUCAAUAGGGCAGCUGUGAUAAACAUCUCUUCCAUACUGGGCUCCAUUAAGGCCAAUUGGGGAGACGGAGCAGCCUUCAAAAGCUAUGCUUACAGGACCUCAAAGGCUGCCUUGAACAUGGCGACAAGUUGUCUGGCCAUUGACUUGGAAUCUGAAGGGAUUCUGUGUAUAGCCCUUCACCCUGGCUGGGUGCACACUGACGUAGGUGGCCCAUAUCAUUUCCUGUCUAUUAUGGAAUAGGUGGAUUUGAGUGCGGAGGAUCAUCUUUGCUGUCUCUGACAGAAAAGCAUCAUGGGGGAUUCUUCAACAACUCUGGAAACAAGCUACCAUGGUGAAGCUCAACUUUGAAACAGUAACUUGUGUAAUGUGCAGUUGUACUGCCGACAAUUCACUGGGACAAAACACUGAGCAGAGAUCAUAGAAUACAACGCACAAUUGCAACAUCAUGCUGUUAGGUUGCUCUGCAAUCUCUGAUUUCUUUGUAUUUAGUUGGCGUGAGAGAGAAGCUG